Molecule: ribosomal RNA, 402 nt
Filed under: uncultured bacterium
Lineage: Bacteria
Description: bacterial SSU rRNA
Rfam family: Bacterial small subunit ribosomal RNA
Source: RNAcentral
UGGGGAAUCUUGCGCAAUGGGCGAAAGCCUGACGCAGCCAUGCCGCGUGAAUGAUGAAGGUCUUAGGAUUGUAAAAUUCUUUCACCAGGGACGAUAAUGACGGUACCUGGAGAAGAAGCCCCGGCUAACUUCGUGCCAGCAGCUGCGGUAAUACGAAGGGGGCUAGCGUUGCUUGGAAUUACUGGGCGUAAAGGGAGCGUAGGCGGACAUUUAAGUCAGUGGUGAAAUCCCGGGGCUCAACCUCGGAAUUGCCUUUGAUACUGGGAGUCUUGAGUGUGAUAGAGGUGUGUGGAACGUAGAGUGUAGAGGUGAAAUUCGUAGAUAUUCGGAAGAACACCAGUGGCGAAGGCAACAUACUGGCUCAUUACUGACGCUGAGGCACGAAAGCGUGGGGAGCAAACA